AGUUGUUAGUGGCAGACGGGUGAGUAAUGCGUAGGAAUCUACCUAGUAGUAUGGAAUAGCCAUUAGAAAUGAUGGGUAAUACUGUAUAAUCCCUGCGGGGGAAAGAUUUAUCGCUAUUAGAUGAGCCUACGUUAGAUUAGCUAGUUGGUAAGGUAAUGGCUUACCAAGGCUAUGAUCUAUAGCUGGUCUGAGAGGACGAUCAGCCACACUGGAACUGAGAUACGGUCCAGACUCCUACGGGAGGCAGCAGUGGGGAAUAUUGGACAAUGGGCGAAAGCCUGAUCCAGCUAUGCCGCGUGAGUGAAGAAGGCCUUCGGGUUGUAAAGCUCUUUCAAUAGGGAAGAUAAUGACGGUACCUAUAGAAGAAGUCCCGGCAAACUCCGUGCCAGCAGCCGCGGUAAUACGGAGGGGGCAAGCGUUGUUCGGAAUUAUUGGGCGUAAAGGGCACGUAGGUGGACUAGUAAGUUAAAAGUGAAAUACCAAAGCUCAACUUUGGAGCUGCUUUUAAUACUGCUAGACUAG
Molecule: ribosomal RNA, 522 nt
Filed under: Ehrlichia ewingii
Lineage: Bacteria; Pseudomonadati; Pseudomonadota; Alphaproteobacteria; Rickettsiales; Anaplasmataceae
Description: bacterial SSU rRNA
Rfam family: Bacterial small subunit ribosomal RNA
Source: RNAcentral